This 454-nucleotide ribosomal RNA is filed under the name Streptococcus mitis. RNAcentral describes it as "bacterial SSU rRNA". It matches the Rfam family "Bacterial small subunit ribosomal RNA", at positions 28 to 468 of the family's 1533-position model. Lineage: Bacteria; Bacillati; Bacillota; Bacilli; Lactobacillales; Streptococcaceae. The record is from RNAcentral.
GACGAACGCUGGCGGCGUGCCUAAUACAUGCAAGUAGAACGCUGAAGGAGGAGCUUGCUUCUCUGGAUGAGUUGCGAACGGGUGAGUAACGCGUAGGUAACCUGCCUGGUAGCGGGGGAUAACUAUUGGAAACGAUAGCUAAUACCGCAUAAUAGUAGAUGUUGCAUGACAUUUACUUGAAAGGUGCAAUUGCAUCACUACCAGAUGGACCUGCGUUGUAUUAGCUAGUUGGUGGGGUAACAGCUCACCAAGGCGACGAUACAUAGCCGACCUGAGAGGGUGAUCGGCCACACUGGGACUGAGACACGGCCCAGACUCCUACGGGAGGCAGCAGUAGGGAAUCUUCGGCAAUGGACGGAAGUCUGACCGAGCAACGCCGCGUGAGUGAAGAAGGUUUUCGGAUCGUAAAGCUCUGUUGUAAGAGAAGAACGAGUGUGAGAGUGGAAAGUUCACA